GUCCAGCUGACGAGUCCCAAAUAGGACGAAUAGUUGUAACCUAUAU
This 46-nucleotide non-coding RNA is filed under the name Schistosoma mansoni. The record is from RNAcentral. Lineage: Eukaryota; Metazoa; Platyhelminthes; Trematoda; Strigeidida; Schistosomatidae.